AGACCAUUGAUUGCCAGAUACACUUGGUAGAGUCUAUCCUCAGACUCUGGCCAUCGAUCUCUUGUAUACUAUGCUCAGGGGUGUGUCCACAAGUGGCUGGGCCUGGGAUGUAUUGUCAAGCCUAUAGCCCAAUCCUUGGUAUCUGGAUCAAGAUAUGACAUUACGGCACUGACACUGGUGUUGUGUUAGCCUCCUUCACCGGCCUUCAAGGAAGUGCGGCCUGGGAUCGUGGCUAGUUUGUGUGGACCAUCACUGAGCAAAAUGGAACCUUCCCCUCCAACCCCCGUCGUACUCCUCCUAGCUGAUGGGUGUGAACUAAUUGAAAGAGGAUGCCCCAGUGCCACUCGUGUCCUUCCCAAGGGUCCGAUCUUAUAGAACUACCUGCACUAAAACUACUGACGUGGAAUGGCUCUUUCAACACUUGUGGUUGCUAUCCUGACCAGUGACGUCAGGAUUCUACUGUCUCUUGAUGCACUGUGAACACACAAUCUUUGUUAUGCCACCUGAAGGCUUAGCAGGCAUAUCCAACGCAGUAUUUAUUAAGUCUUUCUGGAAGCUCUUGUUUGAGAUCUUCGCUUCUAAACAUCUGCAUUUUAUUAUAGACGCAGUACUGCUGUGCACAGUAUUAAUUUCUAGUGUCAUUAUAUCAUUAUAUCGCUGUAUUUUUAGCCAACUGUGAUAAACUGAA
Molecule: long non-coding RNA, 688 nt
Organism: Halichondria panicea
Lineage: Eukaryota; Metazoa; Porifera; Demospongiae; Suberitida; Halichondriidae
Exons: 3
Source: RefSeq, a predicted model, not a curated record